GCUUAGCCGUAAACAUAGGUAGAGCCAACACAAUACUACCCGCCAGAGAACUACAAGUGAAAAGCUAGAAACUCUAAGGACUUGGCGGUGCCUUAAACCAGCCUAGAGGAGCCUGUCCUAUAAUCGAUACUCCGCGCUAAACCUUACCACCUCUUGCCAGUCAGCCUAUAUACCGCCGUCGUCCAGCCUACCUCGUGAGAGCCCAACAGUAGGCAAAACAGUUAACAACUAAUACGUCAGGUCAAGGUGUAGCACAUGAGGUGGAAGCGAUGGGCUACAUUUUCUACCACAGAAAACACGAACGCCACAAUGAAACUUGUGCCCGAAGGUGGAUUUAGCAGUAAGAUAUAUAAGAAACAAUACCUUAAACCCUGCUCUGAGGCGCGCACACACCGC
RNAcentral lists this ribosomal RNA (396 nucleotides) under Eumeces schneiderii. Its description in RNAcentral is "Eumeces schneideri partial 12S ribosomal RNA". It matches the Rfam family "Bacterial small subunit ribosomal RNA", at positions 794 to 1393 of the family's 1533-position model. Lineage: Eukaryota; Metazoa; Chordata; Lepidosauria; Squamata; Scincidae. The record is from RNAcentral.